Molecule: ribosomal RNA, 520 nt
Filed under: Methylobacterium sp. MM52
Lineage: Bacteria; Pseudomonadati; Pseudomonadota; Alphaproteobacteria; Hyphomicrobiales; Methylobacteriaceae
Description: bacterial SSU rRNA
Rfam family: Bacterial small subunit ribosomal RNA
Source: RNAcentral
GGGAACGUACCCUUUGGUUCGGAAUAACGCUGGGAAACUAGCGCUAAUACCGGAUACGCCCUUUUGGGGAAAGGCUUGCUGCCGAAGGAUCGGCCCGCGUCUGAUUAGCUAGUUGGUGGGGUAAUGGCCUACCAAGGCGACGAUCAGUAGCUGGUCUGAGAGGAUGAUCAGCCACACUGGGACUGAGACACGGCCCAGACUCCUACGGGAGGCAGCAGUGGGGAAUAUUGGACAAUGGGCGCAAGCCUGAUCCAGCCAUGCCGCGUGAGUGAUGAAGGCCUUAGGGUUGUAAAGCUCUUUUGUCCGGGACGAUAAUGACGGUACCGGAAGAAUAAGCCCCGGCUAACUUCGUGCCAGCAGCCGCGGUAAUACGAAGGGGGCUAGCGUUGCUCGGAAUCACUGGGCGUAAAGGGCGCGUAGGCGGCCAUUCAAGUCGGGGGUGAAAGCCUGUGGCUCAACCACAGAAUUGCCUUCGAUACAGUUUGGCUUGAGUUUGGUAGAGGUUGGUGGAACUGCGAGU